AUUGAACGCUGGCGGCAGGCCUAACACAUGCAAGUCGAGCGAGCGGCGGACGGGUGAGUAAUGUAUGGGGACUGCCCGAUAGAGGGGGAUAACCACCGGAAACGGUGGCUAAUACCGCAUACUGUUGGAUAACCCAUAUGGGAUUAGCUAGUAGGUAAGGUAAUGGCUUACCUAGGCGACGAUCCCUAGCUGGUCUGAGAGGAUGAUCAGCGAGACUGGGACUGAGACACGGCCCAGACUCCUACGGAGGCAGCAGGGGGGAAUAUUGCACAAUGGGCGCAAGCCUGAUGCAGCCAUGCCGCGUGUAUGAAGAAGGCCCUAGGGUUGUAAAGUACUUUCAGUCGGGAGGCGUUACCGACAGAAGAAGCACCGGCUAACACCGUGCCAGCAGCUGCGGUAAUUC
This 403-nucleotide ribosomal RNA is filed under the name uncultured bacterium. RNAcentral describes it as "partial 16S ribosomal RNA". It matches the Rfam family "Bacterial small subunit ribosomal RNA", at positions 30 to 526 of the family's 1533-position model. The record is from RNAcentral.